This 1025-nucleotide long non-coding RNA is filed under the name Piliocolobus tephrosceles (Ugandan red Colobus). Its description in RNAcentral is "lncRNA (ENSPTEG00000007949.1)". Lineage: Eukaryota; Metazoa; Chordata; Mammalia; Primates; Cercopithecidae. The record is from RNAcentral.
GUAGGACACGAAAAAAAAAAAAAAAAAAAAAAAAAAAAAAACUCACUAAAACCAUUUCACACAUACAUACAUAUACCUAUAUAUAUAUAUAUAUAGACACAAAUGAAGAAGUAAAUUAAUUAUAUUUAUGUGCAUUACAGUUAGGGCGUUUGCUGACUUAACACAUGCAUUCGAAUGUUUACUUCAAUAUGUAGAAAAAAAAAAAAAAAUAAAAAAAAAUAAAUAGUUACAUAACAUUUUUAUAUUUGUCUCUUUUUUAUUUUAUUUUACUCAUUUUCGAAGGAUUACCAAUGGAUAUGUUACUUAUGAUUUUUGUAUUUUGUUUAAAUUCAGACAUAAAUCUGGAUAUUUAUUUUAACAUAUAUGAAGAGGCACUACUUUCAAAUAAUAAAAAAAGUAAUGCUAAUAAAAUUUUUCAAUUUUUUGGAUUGAGUAUUGAAAAAUUAAGAAAAUUUCGCUUAAAAAAUACUAAAAAAAUAUAUGACGCCUCAAGUAGCAUUUUGAAACAAAAAAUUAACAUUGGUCAUAUUUAUGAAACUUUUGAAUGGGCUAAAAUAAAGCGAUUUUAUUUUUCUUUGGUCAUUUUUGAUUUAUUCACUGAAGACAUAUUAGACGUUUCAAAAAAGUAUUUAAAAAAAAAAAAAAAAAAAAACAGCACUUAUUUUGUAUUUGUUUCGUAUAUAACAAAAUAACAUGUGUUAUGCAUUUGUUCUAAGUUUGACGUAAAAAAAAAAAAAAAAAAUAACAACAUGCUUAUAGCAACAUGCUUGUAACAUGCUUGUAACAACAUGCUUGUAACAACAUGCUUAUAACAACAUGCUUGUAACAACAUGCUUAUAACAACAUGCUUAUAACAUGUUUAUAACAACAUGCUUAUAACAACAUGCUUAUAACAACAUGUUUAUAACAACAUACCUACAAAUUGUUUAUAACAACAUACCUACAAAUUGUUUAUAACAGCUCAUUAAAAACGUUUUUUCAGCAUAAUAACACAACUGUCCAUGUGUUCUUUAAUUCGUGCUUGU